Small nuclear RNA from Lutra lutra (Eurasian river otter), 143 nucleotides. RefSeq annotates it as U4 spliceosomal RNA. The record is from RefSeq and is a predicted model, not a curated record. NCBI's taxonomy places the organism in Eukaryota, Metazoa, Chordata, Mammalia, Carnivora, Mustelidae. The transcript has a single exon.
AGCUUUGCGCAGUGGCAGUAUCGUAGCCAAUGAGGUUUAUCCGAGGCGCGAUUAUUGCUAAUUGAAAAGAUGAUAAGAAACAAUGGAAGAAAAAAGUUAUUAAUGUUUUUAAGAACUUUCUCUUUUAAAGAAUAUAAAAAUGU